CUGGGAUUACAGGCAUGCACUACCAUACCCAGGGAUCUCGCUGUAAGCAAUGGAUAAGAGUGCUCGUUUCCUCGUAGCCUUGCCAACAGUAUAUUUUCAAACUUUUGAAUUGUUCAUCUGAUAGAUCCCUUGCUCUAGGGGAGGCCAGUUGUCAUUUGGUGAGGAGACUCAAGCAGCCUUAUGGAAGGAUUCACAUGAGGAAGAACUGAGGUCCCUUGUCAACAGCCAGCAUUAAUGUACAAGAGCCUUAUGAGUCAGUCAUCUUGGAAACAGAUCCUUCUGUCCCAUUACACUUCAAAAGACUGCAGCCACAGCCAACAUUUAGAUUGUAACUUUAUGAGACCCCAAAGCCACCAAUAAAAUUAUGGGGGGUUGGCAUUCUACUAGAGCAUUCCAUUUUUAGAUGGCAAUUUAAA
Saimiri boliviensis boliviensis (Bolivian squirrel monkey) is the source of this 416-nucleotide non-coding RNA. NCBI's taxonomy places the organism in Eukaryota, Metazoa, Chordata, Mammalia, Primates, Cebidae. The record is from RefSeq and is a predicted model, not a curated record.